Non-coding RNA from Chrysemys picta bellii (western painted turtle), 504 nucleotides. Lineage: Eukaryota; Metazoa; Chordata; Testudines; Emydidae. The record is from RefSeq and is a predicted model, not a curated record.
AUCCGAGCCACAGAUAAAAAAGCAGCAACAGAGUCACCUAACUCAGUAUCCUGGAGCCAUACACCCUCCAAGACCCACAUUGAAUGCCAAGCACUUUCCAGGAGUUGCUAAUGUCUUAGGAGCCACACAUUCACCUGGGGCCACCAAUGCUGUGACUGACUCAAUAAGGAGCUACAGCUGCUGUGUUGGUUUCAAGACGGAAUAAAGAUCUGACUGCAGAUGGCAUUUACGAGCAUGGCCACCCAGAACUACUCAGCCGACCUGGAUUAUUAUACGGGUUCUAGUUCUGUGUUGCUGCCAUACGACAACCCGUUUAACCGCACAGAAACCAUUCGUGAAAAAAGUCACACCUGGCAAUUUGCUCAAACUUUCCUGACAGCAUUUUUCGGCAUUGUAUUCUGCAUCGGCACAGUGGGUAAUGCCUUAGUCAUCCUCAUCUUCUGGAAAUACAGAUACAGGAAGAGCAUCACAGACAGAUACCUGCUGCACCAGACCAUUGCUGAU